This 1439-nucleotide ribosomal RNA is filed under the name uncultured prokaryote. RNAcentral's name for it is "partial 16S ribosomal RNA". It matches the Rfam family "Bacterial small subunit ribosomal RNA". The record is from RNAcentral.
AGUGAACGCUGGCGGUAUGCUUAACACAUGCAAGUCGAACGAGAACGGCUCUAGCUUGCUAGAGUGUCAGCUAAGUGGCGGACGGGUGAGUAAUAUAUAGCUAACCUGCCCAUAAGUAAGGGAUAACAUUUAGAAAUGAGUGCUAAUACCUUAUAAUCCUUAAUGAUAUUAAGUUGUUAAGGCAAAGAAUUUCGCUUAUGGAUGGGGCUAUAUUGUAUCAGCUUGUUGUUAGGGUAACGGCCUAACAAGGCUAUGACACAUAGUUGGUCUAAGAGGAUGACCAGCCACACUGGAACUGAGACACGGUCCAGACUCCUACGGGAGGCAGCAGUGGGGAAUAUUGCACAAUGGGCGAAAGCCUGAUGCAGCAAUACCGCGUGGAGGAUGAAUCAUUUAGGUGUGUAAACUCCUUUUAUAUAGGAAGAUAAUGACGGUACUAUAUGAAUAAGCACCGGCUAACUCCGUGCCAGCAGCCGCGGUAAUACGGAGGGUGCAAGCGUUACUCGGAAUCACUGGGCGUAAAGAGUGUGUAGGCGGUUUGGUAAGUCAGAUGUGAAAUCCUAUGGCUCAACCAUAGAACUGCAUUUGAAACUGCUAGACUAGAGUUAGGGAGAGGCAAAAGGAAUUAGUGGUGUAGGGGUAAAAUCCGUAGAUAUCACUAGGAAUACCAAAUGCGAAGGCAUUUUGCUGGAACUUUACUGACGCUGAGACACGAAAGCAUGGGGAGCAAACGGGAUUAGAUACCCCGGUAGUCCAUGCCGUAAACGAUGAAUGUUAGUCGUUGCAGUGCUAGACAUUGCAGUGACACAGCUAACGCAUUAAACAUUCCGCCUGGGGAGUACGGUCGCAAGACUAAAACUCAAAGGAAUAGACGGGGACCCGCACAAGCGGUGGAGCAUGUGGUUUAAUUCGAAAAUACGCGAAGAACCUUACCUGGUCUUGACAUCCUUAGAAUCUUUAAGAAAUUAGGGAGUGCUAGUUUACUAGAACUAAGUGACAGGUGCGCUGCACGGCUGUCGUCAGCUCGUGUCGUGAGAUGUUGGGUUAAGUCCCGCAACGAGCGCAACCCUUUUCUUUAGUUGCUAACAGUUCGGCUGAGAACUCUAAAGAUACUGCCUGGGUAACCAGGAGGAAGGUGAGGACGACGUCAAGUCAUCAUGGCCCUUACGACCAGGGCUACACACGUGCUACAAUGGCUAGGACAAAAAGAAGCAAAAUCGUGAGGUGGAGCAAAUCUUUAAACCUAGUCCCAGUUCGGAUAGCAGUCUGCAACUCGACUGCUUGAAGUUGGAAUCGCUAGUAAUCGCGAAUCAGCAAUGUCGCGGUGAAUACGUUCCCGGGUCUUGUACUCACCGCCCGUCACACCAUGGGAGUUGAACUCAUUCGAAGCGGGGAUGCUAAAGUAGCUACCCUCCACAGUGGAAUCAGCGACUGGGGUG